Molecule: ribosomal RNA, 1676 nt
Filed under: Salmonella enterica subsp. enterica serovar Typhimurium str. DT104
Lineage: Bacteria; Pseudomonadati; Pseudomonadota; Gammaproteobacteria; Enterobacterales; Enterobacteriaceae
Description: bacterial LSU rRNA
Rfam family: Bacterial large subunit ribosomal RNA
Source: RNAcentral
UGCUGGAGGUAUCAGAAGUGCGAAUGCUGACAUAAGUAACGAUAAAGCGGGUAAAACGCCCGCUCGCCGGAAGACCAAGGGUUCCUGUCCAACGUUAAUCGGGGCAGGGUGAGUCGACCCCUAAGGCGAGGCCGAAAGGCGUAGUCGAUGGGAAACGGGUUAAUAUUCCCGUACUUGGUGUUACUGCGAAGGGGGGACGGAGAAGGCUAUGUUGGCCGGGCGACGGUUGUCCCGGUUUAAGCGUGUAGGUGUGUGUUCCAGGUAAAUCCGGUUCACUUUAACACUGAGGCGUGACGACGAGGCACUACGGUGCUGAAGCAACAAAUGCCCUGCUUCCAGGAAAAGCCUCUAAGCAUCAGGUAACACGAAAUCGUACCCCAAACCGACACAGGUGGUCAGGUAGAGAAUACCAAGGCGCUUGAGAGAACUCGGGUGAAGGAACUAGGCAAAAUGGUGCCGUAACUUCGGGAGAAGGCACGCUGACACGUAGGUGAAGUGAUUUACUCAUGGAGCUGAAGUCAGUCGAAGAUACCAGCUGGCUGCAACUGUUUAUUAAAAACACAGCACUGUGCAAACACGAAAGUGGACGUAUACGGUGUGACGCCUGCCCGGUGCCGGAAGGUUAAUUGAUGGGGUCAGCGCAAGCGAAGCUCCUGAUCGAAGCCCCGGUAAACGGCGGCCGUAACUAUAACGGUCCUAAGGUAGCGAAAUUCCUUGUCGGGUAAGUUCCGACCUGCACGAAUGGCGUAAUGAUGGCCAGGCUGUCUCCACCCGAGACUCAGUGAAAUUGAACUCGCUGUGAAGAUGCAGUGUACCCGCGGCAAGACGGAAAGACCCCGUGAACCUUUACUAUAGCUUGACACUGAACAUUGAGCCUUGAUGUGUAGGAUAGGUGGGAGGCUUUGAAGUGUGGACGCCAGUCUGCAUGGAGCCGACCUUGAAAUACCACCCUUUAAUGUUUGAUGUUCUAACGUGGACCCGUAAUCCGGGUUGCGGACAGUGUCUGGUGGGUAGUUUGACUGGGGCGGUCUCCUCCUAAAGAGUAACGGAGGAGCACGAAGGUUGGCUAAUCCUGGUCGGACAUCAGGAGGUUAGUGCAAUGGCAUAAGCCAGCUUGACUGCGAGCGUGACGGCGCGAGCAGGUGCGAAAGCAGGUCAUAGUGAUCCGGUGGUUCUGAAUGGAAGGGCCAUCGCUCAACGGAUAAAAGGUACUCCGGGGAUAACAGGCUGAUACCGCCCAAGAGUUCAUAUCGACGGCGGUGUUUGGCACCUCGAUGUCGGCUCAUCACAUCCUGGGGCUGAAGUAGGUCCCAAGGGUAUGGCUGUUCGCCAUUUAAAGUGGUACGCGAGCUGGGUUUAGAACGUCGUGAGACAGUUCGGUCCCUAUCUGCCGUGGGCGCUGGAGAACUGAGGGGGGCUGCUCCUAGUACGAGAGGACCGGAGUGGACGCAUCACUGGUGUUCGGGUUGUCAUGCCAAUGGCACUGCCCGGUAGCUAAAUGCGGAAGAGAUAAGUGCUGAAAGCAUCUAAGCACGAAACUUGCCCCGAGAUGAGUUCUCCCUGAGACUUAGAGUCUCCUGAAGGAACGUUGAAGACGACGACGUUGAUAGGCCGGGUGUGUAAGCGCAGCGAUGCGUUGAGCUAACCGGUACUAAUGAACCGUGAGGCUUAACCUU